AGUGAACGCUGGCGGUAGGCCUAACACAUGCAAGCCGAACGGCAGCACAGUAAGAGCUUGCUCUUACGGGUGGCGAGUGGCGGACGGGUGAGGAAUACAUCGGAAUCUACUUUUUCGUGGGGGAUAACGUAGGGAAACUUACGCUAAUACCGCAUACGACCUACGGGUGAAAGCAGGGGAUCUUCGGACCUUGCGCGAUUGAAUGAGCCGAUGUCGGAUUAGCUAGUUGGCGGGGUAAAGGCCCACCAAGGCGACGAUCCGUAGCUGGUCUGAGAGGAUGAUCAGCCACACUGGAACUGAGACAGGGUCCAGACUCCUACGGGAGGCAGCAGUGGGGAAUAUUGGACAAUGGGCGCAAGCCUGAUCCAGCCAUACCGCGUGGGUGAAGAAGGCCUUCGGGUUGUAAAGCCCUUUUGUUGGGAAAGAAAAGCAGCAGGUUAAUACCCCGCUGUUCUGACGGUACCCAAAGAAUAAGCACCGGCUAACUUCGUG
This 492-nucleotide ribosomal RNA is filed under the name uncultured bacterium. RNAcentral describes it as "partial 16S ribosomal RNA". It matches the Rfam family "Bacterial small subunit ribosomal RNA", at positions 29 to 507 of the family's 1533-position model. The record is from RNAcentral.